Molecule: ribosomal RNA, 493 nt
Filed under: uncultured bacterium
Lineage: Bacteria
Description: partial 16S ribosomal RNA
Rfam family: Bacterial small subunit ribosomal RNA
Source: RNAcentral
AUUGAACGCUGGCGGCAUGCUUUACACAUGCAAGUCGAACGGUAACAGGUUAAGCUGACGAGUGGCGAACGGGUGAGUAAUGCAUCGGAACGUGCCCGGUCGUGGGGGAUAACGCAGCGAAAGCUGCGCUAAUACCGCAUACGAUCUGAGGAUGAAAGCGGGGGACCGUAAGGCCUCGCGCGAUCGGAGCGGCCGAUGUCAGAUUAGGUAGUUGGUGGGGUAAAGGCUCACCAAGCCAACGAUCUGUAGCUGGUCUGAGAGGACGACCAGCCACACUGGGACUGAGACACGGCCCAGACUCCUACGGGAGGCAGCAGUGGGGAAUUUUGGACAAUGGGCGAAAGCCUGAUCCAGCAAUGCCGCGUGCAGGAAGAUGGCCUUCGGGUUGUAAACUGCUUUUGUACGGAGCGAAAAGGCCUCCUCUAAUACAGGGGGCUCAUGACGGUACCGUAAGAAUAAGCACCGGCUAACUACGUGCCAGCAGCCGCGGUAA